Molecule: ribosomal RNA, 403 nt
Filed under: uncultured bacterium
Lineage: Bacteria
Description: bacterial SSU rRNA
Rfam family: Bacterial small subunit ribosomal RNA
Source: RNAcentral
GGGGAAUCUUCCGCAAUGGGCGCAAGCCUGACGGAGCAACGCCGCGUGGGUGAAGAAGGCCUUCGGGUUGUAAAGCCCUGUCUUAUGGGAAGAAGUCAGUGACGGUACCAUAGGAGGAAGCCACGGCUAACUGCGUGCCAGCAGCCGCGGUAAUACGUAGGUGGCGAGCGUUGUCCGGAAUUACUGGGCGUAAAGGGCGCGCAGGCGGGUUUUUAAGUCAGAUGUGUAAUCUACAGGCUCAACCUGUAGUUUGGAUCUGAUACUGGAAAUCUUGAGUGCAGGAGAGGACAGUGGAAUUCCUAGUGUAGCGGUGAAAUGCGUAGAUAUUAGGAGGAACACCAGUGGCGAAGGCGGCUGUCUGGCCUGCAACUGACGCUGAGGCGCGAAAGCGUGGGUAGCGAAC